GGUAGUGUGGCUAAGGUGCUGGAUUAAGACUUCAGUCUCUCAGGAGUCGUGGGUUCAAAUCCCACCGCUGUCA
This 73-nucleotide transfer RNA is filed under the name Hippoglossus stenolepis (Pacific halibut). RNAcentral's name for it is "tRNA-Leu". It matches the Rfam family "tRNA". From Rfam's summary of the family: Transfer RNA (tRNA) molecules are approximately 80 nucleotides in length. Their secondary structure includes four short double-helical elements and three loops (D, anti-codon, and T loops). Lineage: Eukaryota; Metazoa; Chordata; Actinopteri; Pleuronectiformes; Pleuronectidae. The record is from RNAcentral.